RNAcentral lists this ribosomal RNA (485 nucleotides) under uncultured bacterium. RNAcentral's name for it is "partial 16S ribosomal RNA". It matches the Rfam family "Bacterial small subunit ribosomal RNA", at positions 30 to 507 of the family's 1533-position model. The record is from RNAcentral.
AUUGAACGCUGGCGGCAGGCUUAACACAUGCAAGUCGAGCGGGGGAAGGUAGCUUGCUACCGGACCUAGCGGCGGACGGGUGAGUAUUGCUUGGGAAUCUGCCUAUUAGUGGGGGACAACAUCUCGAAAGGGCUGCUAAUACCGCAUACGUCCUACGGGAGAAAGCAGGGGAUCUUCGGACCUUGCGCUAAUAGAUGAGCCUAAGUCGGAUUAGCUAGUUGGUGGGGUAAAGGCCUACCAAGGCGACGAUCUGUAGCGGGUCUGAGAGGAUGAUCCGCCACACUGGGACUGAGACACGGCCCAGACUCCUACGGGAGGCAGCAGUGGGGAAUAUUGGACAAUGGGGGGAACCCUGAUCCAGCCAUGCCGCGUGUGUGAAGAAGGCCUUAUGGUUGUAAAGCACUUUAAGCGAGGAGGAGGCUACUUUAGUUAAUACCUAGGGAUAGUGGACGUUACUCGCAGAAUAAGCACCGGCUAACUCUGUG